UAACGGCGAGUGAAGCGGCAAUAGCUCAAAUUUGAAAGCUGGCCUUCUGGUCCGCAUUGUAAUUUGUAGAGGAUGCUUUUAGGCAGCCGCCGGUCUAAGUUCCUUGGAACAGGACGUCAUAGAGGGUGAGAAUCCCGUAUGUGACCGGCUCAGGCACCUUCUGUAAAGCUCCUUCGACGAGUCGAGUUGUUUGGGAAUGCAGCUCUAAAUGGGAGGUAAAUUUCUUCUAAAGCUAAAUACUGGCGAGAGACCGAUAGCGCACAAGUAGAGUGAUCGAAAGAUGAAAAGCACUUUGGAAAGAGAGUUAAAAAGCACGUGAAAUUGUUGAAAGGGAAGCGCUUGCAAUCAGACUUGGCCUAGAGUGUUCAACCGGUCUUCUGACCGGCCUAUUCAUUCUGGGCCAGGCCAGCAUCAGUUUUGGCGGCCGGAUAAAGGCCUUGGGAAUGUGGCUUUCUCUUCGGGGGAAGUGUUAUAGCCCAGGGUGUAAUACGGCCAGCCGGGACUGAGGUCCGCGCUUCGGCUAGGAUGCUGGCGUAAUGGUUGUAAGCGGCCCGUCUUGAAACACGGACCAAGGAGUCUAACAUCUAUGCGAGUGUUAGGGUGUCAAACCCUUACGCGUAAUGAAAGUGAACGGAGGUGGGAACCCGCAAGGGUGCACCAUCGACCGAUCCUGAUGUCUUCGGAUGGAUUUGAGUAAGAGCAUAGCUGUUGGGACCCGAAAGAUGGUGAACUAUGCCUGAAUAGGGUGAAGCCAGAGGAAACUCUGGUGGAGGCUCGCAGCGGUUCUGACGUGCAAAUCGAUCGUCAAAUUUGGGUAUAGGGGCGAAAGACUAAUCGAACC
RNAcentral lists this ribosomal RNA (841 nucleotides) under Xenomeris abietis. RNAcentral describes it as "partial 28S large subunit ribosomal RNA". It matches the Rfam family "Eukaryotic large subunit ribosomal RNA", at positions 84 to 941 of the family's 3401-position model. The record is from RNAcentral. Lineage: Eukaryota; Fungi; Ascomycota; Dothideomycetes; Mycosphaerellales; Mycosphaerellaceae.